This 460-nucleotide ribosomal RNA is filed under the name uncultured bacterium. RNAcentral's name for it is "partial 16S ribosomal RNA". It matches the Rfam family "Bacterial small subunit ribosomal RNA", at positions 338 to 795 of the family's 1533-position model. The record is from RNAcentral.
CCUACGGGAGGCAGCAGUGAGGAAUAUUGGUCAAUGGACGAGAGUCUGAACCAGCCAAGUAGCGUGAAGGAUGACUGCCCUAUGGGUUGUAAACUUCUUUUAUAAAGGAAUAAAACGAGGCACGUGUGCCUUUUUGCAUGUACUUUAUGAAUAAGGAUCGGCUAACUCCGUGCCAGCAGCCGCGGUAAUACGGAGGAUCCGAGUGUUAUCCGGAUUUAGUGGGUUUAGAGGGAGCGUAGAUGGGUUGUUAAGUCAGUUGUGAAAGUUUGCGGCUCAACCGUAAAAUUGCAAUUGAUACUGGCAGUCUUGAGUACAGUUGAGGUAGGCGGAAUUCGUGGUGUAGCGGUGAAAUGCUUAGAUAUCACGAAGAACCCCGAUUGCGAAGGCAGCUUACUAAACUAUGACUGACAUUGAUGCUCGAAAGUGUGGGUAUCAAACAGGAUUAGAUACCCUGGUAGUC